CCCUUAGAUGUUCUGGGCCGCACGCGUGCUACACUGAGUGGAUCAGCGGGUCAGGUUGCGUGAAAGUGUUUCCUAAUCUUUAAAUCCGCUCGUGAUGGGGAUUGACGGUUGCAAUUUUCCGUCAUGAACGAGGAAUACCUUGUAAGCGCGGGUCAUCAUCCCGCGCUGAAUACGUCCCUGCCCUUUGUACACACCGCCCGUCGCUCCUACCGAUUGAGUGGUCCGGUGAGGCUUUGGGAUCUGGGCGGAAAGAGCGUUUCGCUGUUUCUGCCCGGAAAACUCAGUCGAACCUUAUCAUUUAGAGGAAGGAGAAGUCGUAACA
This 322-nucleotide ribosomal RNA is filed under the name uncultured eukaryote. RNAcentral's name for it is "partial 18S ribosomal RNA". It matches the Rfam family "Eukaryotic small subunit ribosomal RNA", at positions 1470 to 1796 of the family's 1831-position model. The record is from RNAcentral.